RNAcentral lists this ribosomal RNA (253 nucleotides) under uncultured bacterium. Its description in RNAcentral is "partial 16S ribosomal RNA". It matches the Rfam family "Bacterial small subunit ribosomal RNA", at positions 524 to 776 of the family's 1533-position model. The record is from RNAcentral.
CACGUAGGGGCCAAGCGUUGUCCGGAUUUAUUGGGCGUAAAGCGCGCGUAGGCGGCUUUGCAAGCCGGAUGUGAAAUCCCCGGGCUUAACCUGGGAACUGCAUUCGGGACUGCAUUGCUAGAGUAUGGGAGAGGGAAGUGGAAUUUCAGGUGUAGCGGUGAAAUGCGUAGAUAUCUGAAGGAACAUCAGUGGCGAAAGCGACUUCCUGGACCAAUACUGACGCUCAUGUGCGAAAGCGUGGGGAGCAAACAGG